This 490-nucleotide ribosomal RNA is filed under the name uncultured bacterium. RNAcentral describes it as "partial 16S ribosomal RNA". It matches the Rfam family "Bacterial small subunit ribosomal RNA", at positions 30 to 507 of the family's 1533-position model. The record is from RNAcentral.
AUUGAACGCUGGCGGCAGGCCUAACACAUGCAAGUCGAACGGUAACAGGAAGAAGCUUGCUUCUUUGCUGACGAGUGGCGGACGGGUGAGUAAUGUCAGGGAAACUGCCUGAUGGAGGGGGAUAACUACUGGAAACGGUAGCUAAUACCGCAUAACGUCGCAAGACCAAGGAGGGGGACCUUCGGGCCUCUUGCCAUCGGAUGUGCCCAGAUGGGAUUAGCUAGUAGGUGGGGUAACGGCUCACCUAGGCGACGAUCCCUAGCUGGUCUGAGAGGAUGACCAGCCACACUGGAACUGAGACACGGUCCAGACUCCUACGGGAGGCAGCAGUGGGGAAUAUUGCACAAUGGGCGCAAGCCUGAUGCAGCCAUGCCGCGUGUAUGAAGAAGGCCUUCGGGUUGUAAAGUACUUUCAGCGGGGAGGAAGGGAGUAAAGUUAAUACCUUUGCUCAUUGACGUUACCCGCAGAAGAAGCACCGGCUAACUCCGUG